AUUGUGAUUCCUGAGGGUAUUGUCUUUUUUUAAAAGUCUGUCUGUGUACCUGCCAAAAGACAGGGGAGUGGCUUGGCAUAAAAUCCUACCCAGAACUCCUGUGGAGACUUGCUGGUCAAAGGAGAGAGAAUAUCAGAAAGAAAACAGCAGAAGUCAGGUAACAACAUUCAUUCUGCACAGGUGAAGUUCACAGGCAACUCUUAAGUGAACUUUAUCUAAAAUCCCUUUCUCUUCAGAUUCUCAAGGAUCAAAGCAUGGAAUGGAUGAUUUAAGACAGCAAAGAAACUAUUCAGGAGGAAGUUCAGGAGAGAGAGGUAAGGGUGUUUGAUUAGCUUGAGUUUAUCAAUUUGCUGUGAACCUGAACCAAAAUCUUUUGUGAAAAUCUUUUCAUUGUGAAGACUGAGCCACCUGGUUCUGUAAUGUUACUAAGAAGCUUGAUUAUUAUUUUGAUGAAGUGGCAACGUUUUAUUCAGCUAUAUGUUUUUGAAUUUCAAAGCAAGAACUGUUCACAUUUAUAAGACAUGUAUUAUGAAAACAGGCAUCACAGAAACAAUUUCUACUACUAGAAUUACAUCUUUACCUCCACGUAAGUUACCCCUGUUCACUUUCCCAUGUACAUUUGAUCUGUUUUCACUGUCUGAUUUAUUCAUAUUCAAUGCCUUCUUCUUCUACUGAAUUUGUGCAUUAUGGGAAAAUUCCUGCUUGUUAAACUGUGGCUGUAACUUGAGCAUCUUUUUCAAUAUGAGAUCAAAGUGGUCAUUGCUGUAAUUUACCGUGUUUUUAACCCGCAGGAGGCUUCAGUGCAUCCGCCAGCAAGGGCAUGUCAAGCACCUCUGGGUCUCCUGGUCUGGAGAAGAACAUUUUGACUCAGAACAACAGCAGUUCUUUUUUUUCAUCGUCAUCUGUGGGUGUGAGUGCAGGUGGGUUAGGCUCUGGAUCAGGAGAAUAUCUGGCAGAGGAGACAACUGUGAGCAGGAAGACAGGUGGUGCCUCUGGAGUUUUCGAGAGUCUCUCUGGUUCGGGAACUGGGUCGAGGCUGAGAUCCAGCUCCACUGAUGGCAUGAGAAGAACACAAGUCUCCCCUUUGUUUGUGGAGAGGAAAAGCAAAACUACUCAUUCACGUCGUUAUGAUGGUUAG
RNAcentral lists this long non-coding RNA (1138 nucleotides) under Sinocyclocheilus grahami. RNAcentral's name for it is "lncRNA (ENSSGRG00000022198.1)". The record is from RNAcentral. Lineage: Eukaryota; Metazoa; Chordata; Actinopteri; Cypriniformes; Cyprinidae.